This 73-nucleotide transfer RNA is filed under the name Thermoleophilia bacterium. RNAcentral describes it as "tRNA-Phe". It matches the Rfam family "tRNA". From Rfam's summary of the family: Transfer RNA (tRNA) molecules are approximately 80 nucleotides in length. Lineage: Bacteria; Bacillati; Actinomycetota; Thermoleophilia. The record is from RNAcentral.
GGCCGGGUAGCUCAGUUGGUAGAGCACACGACUGAAAAUCGUGGUGUCGGCGGUUCGAGCCCGCCCCCGGCCA